UACGUAGGGGGCAAGCGUUGUCCGGAUUUAUUGGGCGUAAAGAGCUCGUAGGUGGUUCGGUAAGUCGGAUGUGAAAUCUCCAGGCUCAACCUGGAGGGGUCAUUCGAUACUGCCGUGACUAGAGUUCGGUAGGGGAGUGUGGAAUUCCUGGUGGAGCGGUGAAAUGCGCAGAUAUCAGGAGGAACACCCGUGGCGAAGGCGGCACUCUGGGCCGAUACUGACACUGAGACGCGAAAGCGUGGGGAGCGAACAGG
RNAcentral lists this ribosomal RNA (254 nucleotides) under uncultured bacterium. RNAcentral describes it as "partial 16S ribosomal RNA". It matches the Rfam family "Bacterial small subunit ribosomal RNA", at positions 524 to 776 of the family's 1533-position model. The record is from RNAcentral.